RNAcentral lists this ribosomal RNA (255 nucleotides) under uncultured bacterium. RNAcentral's name for it is "partial 16S ribosomal RNA". It matches the Rfam family "Bacterial small subunit ribosomal RNA", at positions 524 to 776 of the family's 1533-position model. The record is from RNAcentral.
UACGUAGGGAGCAAGCGUUGUCCGGAUUUAUUGGGCGUAAAGAGCUCGUAGGCGGUUCCGUAAGUCAGGUGUGAAAAAUCUGGGCUCAACCCAGUGGAGCACCUGAUACUGCGGUGACUCGAGUCCGGUAGGGGAGUGUGGAAUUCCUGGUGUAGCGGUGAAAUGACGCAGAUAUCAGGAGGAACACCGGUGGCGAAGGCGGGUCUCUGGGCAAUAACUGACGUGAGGAGCGAAAGCGUGGGGGAGCGAAACAGG